Molecule: non-coding RNA, 314 nt
Organism: Python bivittatus (Burmese python)
Lineage: Eukaryota; Metazoa; Chordata; Lepidosauria; Squamata; Pythonidae
Source: RefSeq, a predicted model, not a curated record
UCACUAUUGACUGUCACUGGCAUAAAUCCUUCAGGAUGAACGAUCUGCAUGCAUCAGAACAUUAACUUCGAUGAUCCCUCUGUGGAAGUCUAAGACCUCAGAAAUCCUAGGCAGCAACAUGUGGAAUUGUCCCAAGACGAAUAAACAAAUAAUCCUCACACCAAUUAAUUUUGCCUCAGUGUGAUACCCAGAGCAGGUCAAGGAAAACAACGUUCAGAUGCUGCUCAGAAUUAGCAGAUACAUUUCCUUACCAUUGGCAUAGUGUCCAAAAGAGCAUGAACAUCUACCAAAAUGCCUGUGUCUUCCAAAACAAG